Molecule: ribosomal RNA, 463 nt
Filed under: uncultured bacterium
Lineage: Bacteria
Description: partial 16S ribosomal RNA
Rfam family: Bacterial small subunit ribosomal RNA
Source: RNAcentral
GACGAACGCUGGCGGCGUGCUUAACACAUGCAAGUCGAACGGAAAGGCCUUUUCGGAGGUACUCGAGUGGCGAACGGGUGAGUAACACGUGGGUGAUCUGCCCUGCACUCUGGGAUAAGCCUGGGAAACUGGGUCUAAUACCGGAUAGGACCGCACUUUAGUGUGUGUGGUGGAAAGUUUUUUCGGUGUAGGAUGAGCCCGCGGCCUAUCAGCUUGGUGGUGGGGUAAUGGCCUACCAAGGCGGCGACGGGUAGCCGGACUGAGAGGUUGGUCGGCCACAUUGGGACUGAGAUACGGCCCAGACUCCUACGGGAGGCAGCAGUGGGGAAUAUUGCACAAUGGGCGCAAGCCUGAUGCAGCGACGCCGCGUGGGGGAUGACGGCCUUCGGGUUGUAAACUCCUUUCGCCAGGGACGAAGCGUUUUGUGACGGUACCUGGAGAAGAAGCACCGGCUAACUACGUG